Gymnogyps californianus (California condor) is the source of this 1575-nucleotide long non-coding RNA. RefSeq lists it as uncharacterized. The transcript has 6 exons. Lineage: Eukaryota; Metazoa; Chordata; Aves; Accipitriformes; Cathartidae. The record is from RefSeq and is a predicted model, not a curated record.
CCAGACUCUGACCUGUGCAUGGACCUCCUGGCUUGGUGGCAGAGCUGUCCUGUCACUAUGGAUCUGUCUGGCAAUCUCUGGAAUGUGUUACCCUGACCUGUGGAUGGACCACCAAGCUUGGCCUCAGACCUGUCUCAUCACCAUGAACUGGCCUGAUGCUGGGGGCUCGUGGUUGAAGCUGCCCUGCUCUGCUUGUCAGCUACUGCGGGACUGGUCCUGAUACUGCCCUCAGCUCCUGCCUCCCUGUCCUGCUGGAAGAAGACAUGGAUUAGUCAAGGCUCCCAUCGACUGGGCUUUUUUCUAAUUACAUGAAGAGUGGAUGAAGUCCUAUUAAGUUGUCUGUGACUAGAAAAAGAAUUACUGCACUGAUACUUUCAAUCCUUGCUGGCUUGUAAAAAAGGCAUUCAGAGUUUACUGAACCUCCACCUCGCACAUCAAAAAAGAAAUAGAAGAAUUCCUGCUGCUACAUUAUCAUGUGAGCAUCCAAUUCUGUCCUUCCAUACUGUGGAGACAUGCACAACAUACAGGAAAGUGUUAAAAAAUAUUUAUAAGAUGCCCAACAGGACAAAACAAAUGGACAUAGCACGAAGCUCACGUGUGAAAUGUGCUCAUCCUUGGUUCUGUCUAGCUGGAGAAGACUCAACAACCCAAGAUGCACAAGAAAGAAAAGUCUCUGGAAGAGCAGAAUGGAAUUGCAAGAUCUCAAACCAUACAAUGAGCCUCCUCAGUCUACUAACACCAGAGGCCAAGCCAGCGUCCUCAUUUGUACCCUUCAGUUUUGAUGCCUGUAACUGGGGGAAGGGAGAGAACUGAUUUGGUUUUUUUAGACACAUUUGAAAAUCAAAGAUAGUGCAACAGAAAAUAUCUCAGCAUGAUGUACAGAGCUGUUUGAGGCCUGUUUUGGUUUAGAGCAGAUCAGCUCUUUGGUCCCUGGGGCAAGCUGCACAUGCUUCAAGAGUGGCUCUGCUCUUCUGGCUGCCAUAGCCGGAACGUGACAGAGACACUCAUUUUUCCAGAAAUUCACUGCAAUGUUGAGAAUUUCUGGCCAAUAUGGAGCUAUGGACCUGCUAUGGGAGCUAUGGAAAACUUUUGAGGUUUAGCUGUGACUCCACCAUCACCACCAGCAAAGUUGCUAUUGAUGCUGGUGGAGCCGAGGGCCGGCGCCUGGGUGGGAGGAGUGGAGGCUGUAUGUAUGUCCCAGCCUGGGGCUUUGCGUUCCUUCAUUUCUAAUUGUCUGCUGCCUUCUUUUAAGACUGGUAACCUUAGACCAGAGGGAAAAAGAGGUUCAUUUUUAAGCAUGAUGAAAUUUAACUUGUAAUUGCUGUUUCCACAGCAGCCAAUUGAGAGAAGCAUGCGUGGCUAGGACAGCCCAGUUGAAUGCAGUUGGCUCGGGAGACAAAGGCUGUUCCUAAAUUAGGACUGGACCGGAGAUGGCAACAGUGGUCUGAGUUAGGAGGCUGUGCCCAUCAGGCUCUCUAUGGGGCUAUGUAUGGAGGGCCGGGAGCAGUAUGAAGGGUUGAGCUCUUCUUCAGAGGUGCCACCAUGGUCCUCCACCCACAGACCUGCUCUCUGGCA